RNAcentral lists this ribosomal RNA (485 nucleotides) under uncultured bacterium. Its description in RNAcentral is "bacterial SSU rRNA". It matches the Rfam family "Bacterial small subunit ribosomal RNA", at positions 28 to 507 of the family's 1533-position model. The record is from RNAcentral.
GAUGAACGCUGGCGGCGUGCUUAACACAUGCAAGUCGAACGAAGCACUUUAUUUGAUUUUCUUCGGAAAUGAAGAUUUUGUGACUGAGUGGCGGACGGGUGAGUAACGCGUGGAUAACCUGCCUCAUACAGGGGGAUAACAGCCGGAAACGGCUGCUAAUACCGCAUAAGCGCACGGUACCGCAUGGUACAGUGUGAAAAACUCCGGUGGUAUGGGAUGGAUCCGCGUCUGAUUAGCCAGUUGGCGGGGUAACGGCCCACCAAAGCGACGAUCAGUAGCCGACCUGAGAGGGUGACCGGCCACAUUGGGACUGAGACACGGCCCAAACUCCUACGGGAGGCAGCAGUGGGGAAUAUUGCACAAUGGGGGAAACCCUGAUGCAGCGACGCCGCGUGAGCGAAGAAGUAUUUCGGUAUGUAAAGCUCUAUCAGCAGGGAAGAAGAAAUGACGGUACCUGACUAAGAAGACCCCGGCUAACUACCGUG